ACAGCUUUGGACAAAAGUCUAUAGCCAGAGCAUUCGUAAUUCCCCAUGCACAAGGGCUGACUGUGUCUGUGGGAAGACAUUUUAUUCAGUUGCUUUCUUAUUUCUUAGAGUUUUCUAGUCCUUUGCUCUCAGAUGUUUGCUACCUUUUAGAAUUUCACCUGUCUGGGUCACUGUACUUGAGAAAAUUCUGCAGCCUGUCAGAUGGUGUAGGUCUCAUAAAGACAGCUCU
This 229-nucleotide long non-coding RNA is filed under the name Salvator merianae (Argentine black and white tegu). RNAcentral describes it as "SOX2 overlapping transcript exon 1 (ENSSMRG00000023603.1)". It matches the Rfam family "SOX2 overlapping transcript exon 1". Rfam says of the family: SOX2 overlapping transcript (SOX2OT) is a long non-coding RNA, containing at least 5 exons. The SOX2 gene, an important regulator of neurogenesis, lies within one of the introns of SOX2OT. Lineage: Eukaryota; Metazoa; Chordata; Lepidosauria; Squamata; Teiidae. The record is from RNAcentral.